This is a long non-coding RNA of Phyllostomus discolor (pale spear-nosed bat), 322 nucleotides long. RefSeq lists it as uncharacterized. The transcript is spliced from 3 exons. NCBI's taxonomy places the organism in Eukaryota, Metazoa, Chordata, Mammalia, Chiroptera, Phyllostomidae. The record is from RefSeq and is a predicted model, not a curated record.
CUAUGGAAUACUACUCAGCCAUAAGAAAAGAUGAAAUAAUGCUAUUUGUGAUAAUGUGGAUGGACCUUGUGACCAUUAGACUAAGUAAAUUAAGUCAGAAAAAGCUGAGAACGAUAUGAUUUCACUUAUAAGGGGGAUGUAAAACUGAAACUCAUAGACACAGACAACAGUAUGGUAGUUACAAGAGGGAAGGGAGUGGGAGUUGGGAGGCCAAAUACGUGGUGAUAGAUGAUGAUUUGACUGUGGCUGGAGGGCACACAAUGCAAUAUACAGAUCAUGUAUCAUAGAAAUGUACACUUGAAACCUAUCUAUUCUUAUUAUC